This 409-nucleotide unclassified non-coding RNA is filed under the name uncultured Russula. RNAcentral's name for it is "sequence contains ITS2". The stretch from base 1 to 154 matches the Rfam family "5.8S ribosomal RNA". The record is from RNAcentral. Lineage: Eukaryota; Fungi; Basidiomycota; Agaricomycetes; Russulales; Russulaceae.
AACUUUUAGCAAUGGAUCUCUUGGCUCUCACAUCGAUGAAGAACGCAGCGAAAUGCGAUACGUAAUGUGAAUUGCAGAAUUCAGUGAAUCUUUGAAUCUUUGAACGCACCUUGCGCCCCUUGGUAUUCCAAGGGGUGCACCCGUUUGAGUGUCAUGAACACCCUCAACCUUCUUGGUUUAUCGACCAGGAAGGUUUGGACUUUGGAGGGCCUCGUUUGAAGCCAGCUCCUCCUAAAUGAAUUAGUGGGGUCCGCCGUGCCAAUCCUUGACGUGAUAAGUACGCUUCUAUGUCUUGGGGUUUCACACCAUUCUUGCUUCCAACUUCGAGUUGUGACUUGACCUUAUAAACCUUGACCUCAAAUUGGGUGAGACUACCCACUGAACUUAAGCAUAUCAAUAAGCGGAGGCU